This 1415-nucleotide long non-coding RNA is filed under the name Aotus nancymaae (Ma's night monkey). Its description in RNAcentral is "lncRNA (ENSANAG00000039562.1)". The record is from RNAcentral. Lineage: Eukaryota; Metazoa; Chordata; Mammalia; Primates; Aotidae.
UAGGGAUGGGAGAGGGGAAAGGAAGGAAAAACUAAAGGCCAACAUUCACUCCGGGUGACUGUUUUAACAAGGAUGUAGCUGUAGUCCAGCCCUCCUGGAUCCCAGGACAACCUUGCUAAGAAGCCCACAAAAGCAGUGAGGACAGACCAUGGGUAUGAAAGAAGAGUCAACAUUCCUUCAAUCUGAAAGCAUUACAUUAAUUCAGUUUUUCCCUCAGAGAAACUACCAUACCAACAAGCCCUGUCAGAAAUCACCUCCAAACGUGUGGAAUACCAGGAAUGAUCCCUCCUUUCCCUCAGAUCGGAUGUUUCCUUGGCAAGCACUUUGUCUCAGAUUAUCUUGCCAUCGAAUUUCUAUACCACCUCAAGAUGACACUUUGUCUAGCAAAAAGUGAUGCAAAGCUCUUUUUGCAAAAGCCCCUCAAAUUAAUACACCUGAUGUAUUUUUACUAAUAACACUUUCCUUAGAAGCUCCAAAUGUGUAAUCAUGCUUUCGCAGAUGAAAAAAUACUAAAACACAAGAUUAAACGACCUCUCUAAGAUGACUGAGCAAAUCAUCCACCAAAUGCAUGAUGUCUGACAACUUAUGACAUACAAAUGCUUACACUGACAACUCGACCUCAUCCUUGUUUCUGUGCAGAAAAAUAAGGGAAAUCGUUUACUGGCCCAGAAGACCUCAUGAUGUUAUGAAGAUGGCAAAUUCAAUCAGAUCCUCAUUAACUAGAUCAGAAUGAAGCCUGACAGAGUCUUCAUUAGAUCUACAAAAAUCCUGCCUGUUUUAGCUCUGAGUCUCCUGACUUGUUCGUGUCAUCAUAAAUUGGUUGUUUUGAAGUCAGAGAGGACAAAGUGCUUACAGAUGAUGGUCAUCCUCUCUGAGCUAUAAGGACAAGGUCCUAUUAGAAAAACUAAAAAUGAAAUAACAGUGCAGCAGUGGCAAGGCCUGGCUAAAGAAACAGGUUUGCUAGCGGGCAAGAAAUAGACAAAAGAAAAACCCAGUUAUUUAAACAUACCAAACAAAUAACAACUACAAAGACAUCAUCCCAAUUUCAUCAUGGAAACCAAUGUAAACUUUUCUCGUGAAGCUGAAUUACAGGUCACUUCAGUUCUAUUUCAUAAAUUUUACAUUUCCAGUCAGAAAAAUAGCAUCCUUUAUAUCCGAAAAAAUUCAUCUAACCCCAGAUAAGCAGUCUUUUUUUUUUUUUUUUUUUUACAAUAGAAUCAAAUCCUGUCACUUUUUUCAGCAGUGGUGCCAGCAAGACCAGCCAUUGAAAUAAGCAGAGCCAAUGGCCAUUGAGUUAACGAGACUUGAGAGGGGCCAAAAAGCCCGCUUGCCAAUGUGCCCAUGGAGUCCACCAUAAAGUCACUCCAAUGAAUGGGGUACUGCAUUUCCAAAAUGCUCCUGUCACAAAUGCUAAU